CAGCAAAAGGAGCAACAGAAUCUCAAUCAAUUAUCAGUCUUCUUCUUCUCUUCUAUUCUCUUCUAAUAGGCGGUCCCAUUUCUCCUUUGUCUCUGUUUUAUUCACACCAAUUUUAGGGACAGUGCUGCUGCCAAUCAAACGCCUGUCCCGAUACGCCCUUUUCCCCCUUUCCCCUUUUCCACUGUCGUCUAGUUCCCUCAGAAUAAACACAGAUAUUAUUUCUGAAUCUUCUGCACAGAUGCAGAUAUUGCUGAGAUCAAUAUUGUCUGCUUUGAUUGACAACUAAAUAAGAUACAGAAGGAUGUGGCCAAUUCAUCAGUUCAUGAACAAACUAUUGAAGGCGGUUGAAGACAAUAAUGAUGAGUAUGCUGAAAAUCACUUUAAUUUUGUCGAUUCUUAUACCAUCCAGCAGCCACUAAACAACCAAAGCAGAACUUCAGUCUCAUCCUACUUUAUUGAUGUACCUCACAUAAAUCAGGAAAGCACAUGGGAUUGUGGUCUUGCUUGCGUUCUUAUGGUUUUGCAAGCUGUUGGUGUAUAUAACUGUACUAUUCAAGACCUAGUAGAGCUAUGUUGUACCACAAGUAUUUGGACUGUAGAUUUGGCAUAUUUGCUGCAGAAGUUUUCUUUAAGCUUUACAUAUUGCACAGUUACAUUAGGAGCUAAUCCAGACUUUUCUGUCGAGACAUAUUACAAGGACCAACUGCCAAAUGACCUUAGACGAGUAAAUAUGCUCUUCCAGGAAGCUCGUGAAUCUGGAAUCAGUAUAGAGUGCAGAUCAGUUAGUGCGAAAGAAAUUUCUGAAUUUAUGUUGUCUGGAAAGUAUGUCGCUAUUGCUUUAGUCGAUCAGCACAAAUUAAGCAGUCAGUCUCAGCUUGAGGAUACUUGUGUCUCAGAAUACUAUAGUGGAGGCCCUAGUUACACCGGUCACUAUGUUGUUAUUUGUGGCUAUGAUGCUGCUACAGAUGAGUUUGAGAUUCGAGAUCCUGCCAGCUCAAGGAAGCAUGAAAGGAUUCCUUCAUGGUGCCUUGAACAGGCUCACAAAUCCUUUGGUACUGAUGAGGAUUUUCUGCUGAUUUCUGUCGAGAAGGGAGGAGCUCAAGGCAACCCUUUAGGAAUCUUUUCCUUGUGACAUUGUAAUUGGUCGAGAUCGGGGUUUCAAGGCGUGUGCUAGACCGUUGUCUGAAGAAAAUGCUGUUUGUUUCAACCACUCUUUGGUUGAUAACAUGUUUACUUAAUCUCCUGCGCAUUUUAGGCAUUUCCUUUAUCUGUACAGGGACUCCGCAAUGCGGAUUUCUUGUUCCGUCCCGGUGGGAUGAGACAGGCCGGGAUGCGUUGCAAGCGUCCCAUCUACCCGCGUGAUGCUUGGCUAAGGGAUGGAGGGGGGUUGCCUCCACGUGCCCGCCCAUCUUGGCGCAACCACAAAGUGGCAUAGAGUUCACUCGUAGACUGGGAAAGUAAUCAAAAUCCCGGAACAGGGAAAGUUAGUAUAACUUUUCAGGAUUCUGAAUCCUAGCUUUUCUUAGGUA
Salvia hispanica is the source of this 1529-nucleotide RNA transcript. It is a transcript of the gene named guanylyl cyclase 1, with no coding region annotated. Lineage: Eukaryota; Viridiplantae; Streptophyta; Magnoliopsida; Lamiales; Lamiaceae. The record is from RefSeq and is a predicted model, not a curated record.